GAUGAACGCUGGCGGCGUGCUUAACACAUGCAAGUCGAACGGAAAGGCCCUGCUUUUGUGGGGUGCUCGAGUGGCGAACGCGUGCGUAACACGUGAGUAUCCUGCCCUUGCCUUUGGGAUAACUUCAGGAAACUGGGGCUAAUACCGGAUCGGAGCUCCUGCUGCAUUGUGGGGGUUGGAAAGUUUCGGCGGUUGGGGAUGGACUCGCGGCUUAUCAGCUUGUUGGUGGGGUAGUGGCUUACCAAGGCUUUGACGGGUAGCCGGCCUGAGAGGGUGACCGGCACCAUGGGGACUGAGAUACGGCCCAGACUCCUACGGGAGGCAGCAGUGGGGAAUAUUGCACAAUGGGCGGAAGUCUGAUGCAGCAACGCCGCGUGCGGGAUGACGGCCUUCGGGUUGUAAACCGCUUUCGCCUGUGACGAAGCGUGAGUGACGGUAAUGGGUAAAGAAGCACCGGCUAACUACGUG
RNAcentral lists this ribosomal RNA (468 nucleotides) under uncultured bacterium. RNAcentral describes it as "partial 16S ribosomal RNA". It matches the Rfam family "Bacterial small subunit ribosomal RNA", at positions 28 to 507 of the family's 1533-position model. The record is from RNAcentral.